Molecule: ribosomal RNA, 447 nt
Filed under: uncultured bacterium
Lineage: Bacteria
Description: bacterial SSU rRNA
Rfam family: Bacterial small subunit ribosomal RNA
Source: RNAcentral
UCGGGAAUUUUGGGCAAUGGGGGAAACCCUGACCCAGCAACGCCGCGUGAAGGAUGAAGUAUUUCGGUAUGUAAACUUCGAAAGAAUAGGAAGAAUAAAUGACGGUACUAUUUAUAAGGUCCGGCUAACUACGUGCCAGCAGCCGCGGUAAUACGUAGGGACCAAGCGUUGUUCGGAAUUACUGGGCGUAAAGGGCGCGUAGGCGGCCCUCUAAGUCAGACGUGAAAUCCCCCGGNUUAACCUGGGAACUGCGUCUGAUACUGGAGGGCUUGAGUAUGGGAGAGGGAUGUAGAAUUCCAGGUGUAGCGGUGAAAUGCGUAGAUAUCUGGAGGAACACCUGUGGCGAAGGCGGCCACCUGGUUGGAUACUGACGCUGAGACGCGAAAGCGUGGGGAGCAAACAGGAUUAGAUACCCCCGUAUUCCCUGAGCGGGCUGGCAAGGCGCAU